RNAcentral lists this ribosomal RNA (503 nucleotides) under uncultured bacterium. RNAcentral describes it as "partial 16S ribosomal RNA". It matches the Rfam family "Bacterial small subunit ribosomal RNA", at positions 30 to 523 of the family's 1533-position model. The record is from RNAcentral.
AUUGAACGCUGGCGGCAGGCUUAACACAUGCAAGUCGAGCGGGGUGAUGGUGCUUGCACUAUCACUUAGCGGCGGACGGGUGAGUAAUGCUUAGGAAUCUGCCUAUUAGUGGGGGACAACAUCUCGAAAGGGAUGCUAAUACCGCAUACGUCCUACGGGAGAAAGCAGGGGAUCACUUGUGACCUUGCGCUAAUAGAUGAGCCUAAGUCGGAUUAGCUCGUUGGUGGGGUAAAGGGCUACCAAGGCGACGAUCUGUAGCGGGUCUGAGAGGAAUAUCCGCCACACUUGGACUAAAGCACCGCCCAGACUCCUACCGGAAGCAACAGUUGGGAAUAUUGGACAAUGGGGGGAACCCUGAUCCAGCCAUGCCGCGUGUGUGAAGAAGGCCUUAUGGUUGUAAAGCACUUUAAGCGAGGAGGAGGCUCUUUUGGUUAAUACCCAAGAUGAGUGGACGUUACUCGCAGAAUAAGCACCGGCUAACUCUGUGCCAGCCGCCGCCGUAA